RNAcentral lists this ribosomal RNA (429 nucleotides) under Chloroflexota bacterium. RNAcentral's name for it is "Chloroflexi bacterium partial 16S ribosomal RNA". It matches the Rfam family "Bacterial small subunit ribosomal RNA", at positions 355 to 776 of the family's 1533-position model. Lineage: Bacteria; Bacillati; Chloroflexota. The record is from RNAcentral.
UGGGGAAUAUUGCACAAUGGGCGCAAGCCUGAUGCAGCCAUGCCGCGUGUGUGAAGAAGGCCUUCGGGUUGUAAAGCACUUUCAGCGGGGAGGAAGGCGAUAAGGUUAAUAACCUUGUCGAUUGACGUUACCCGCAGAAGAAGCACCGGCUAACUCCGUGCCAGCAGCCGCGGUAAUACGGAGGGUGCAAGCGUUAAUCGGAAUUACUGGGCGUAAAGCGCACGCAGGCGGUCUGUCAAGUCGGAUGUGAAAUCCCCGGGCUCAACCUGGGAACUGCAUUCGAAACUGGCAGGGUAGAGUCUUGUAGAGGGGGGUAGAAUUCCAGGUGUAGCGGUGAAAUGCGUAGAGAUCUGGAGGAAUACCGGUGGCGAAGGCGGCCCCCUGGAAAAAGACUGACGCUCAGGUGCGAAAGCGUGGGGAGCAAACAGG